AUGGCGCGCCACCACAACCACCAGCAGCGGGGAGCGGCGGCGGCGGCGGCGGCAUUGCCGGUGAUCAACAUUGGCCGGCUCGGCGACAAGGACCCCGCCGCGCGGGCGCUCGUCGUCCAGGACAUCGCCCGGGCGUGCCGCGACCGCGGGUGCUUCCAGGUGGUAAACCACGGCGUCAGCAAGUCCGCCAUGGACGGCGCCCUGGAGGCCGCCUCCGAGUUCUUCGACUUGCCCGCGGAGCACAAGGCGGCGUUCGCCUGCGACGACAUCCGCAGCCCGGUCCGGUACGACACCAGCUCCCGGGACGGGAUCAGCAAGGCCCGGUCCUUCCUCAAGCACUACGCCAAUCCCCUCCACCACUGGGUCGACGACUGGCCAACACAACCGGCAACAUACAGGAAGAAGAUGGGGACGUACGCCGUGGAGAUGCAGAGGCUGUCGGUGCAGCUCAUUGGGGCCAUCGUGCAGGGGCUGGGGCUAGACCCAAUGUACCUGCAGGAGAAGCUCGGGGCAGGGCUGCAGUUCAUCGCCCUGAACAACUACCCGCAGGGGUCGUCGCGGGCGGGUGACACGGUCGGGCUGGCGCCGCACUCGGACAUCGGCUUCAUCACCAUCCUGCUGCAGAGCUCGCCGGGGCUCGAGGUGACGCACCACGACGACGGCGGCGUCUGGACGCCCGUCCCGGCCAUCCCGGGGGCGCUCCACGUCCACCUCGGCGACCACCUGGAGGUGCUGAGCAACGGCCGCCUCCGGUCCCUCCUGCACCGGGCCAUCCUCAACACCGAUGAAGCGAGGAUCUCCAUCGCCAGCAUCCACGGCGCGGCGAUGGACGAGAAGGUCGGGUGCGCCGACGAGCUCGUCGACGAGCAACACCCGAGGAUGUACAGGGAGAGCAGCUUCCAUGACUUCCUCGACUUCCUGCCCACCAACGUCAAGGCGUACCGGAGGUUCGUUGACACCCUCAAGAUCGACAGUGCUUAA
RNAcentral lists this ribosomal RNA (981 nucleotides) under Triticum aestivum (bread wheat). RNAcentral's name for it is "partial small subunit ribosomal RNA". Lineage: Eukaryota; Viridiplantae; Streptophyta; Magnoliopsida; Poales; Poaceae. The record is from RNAcentral.